AGUGACUGUACUGAGCCAUGAGCCAAACCAGAUUAGGGUGGGCCAUCAGAGUACGGCCUGGAACUUUAUCUGGAGGGAAGAAGUCAGACACACGGUGGCUAGGAGGCUGUGGGACAAAAGACACUUUGAUUUCUCUCGUCUUCCACAGUAACUUCCUGUUGUUUAACACCACCUGUUUCGGGGUGCUUCAUUAGGGUGGUUCCGGGAAAUGAAUGCCGUAUUCACGUGGCAUUGACAUCAUCCUUCCAAAGGCAAAGGCUGAGUUGUUACCAAGUUUUUGUGAAAACUAACAAUGCGGCAGGCAACAAACAUCUCUGUUCUUGCUUCUGUGUCUUCCCAGGACAGAAACUAAAAAGCGGGAUCAGGAAGUGAGCAAGAACUGGCUGGGGCUGGGCUAUAAAAAAAUCUCAGAGCCCACCCCUAGUGACGUACUUCCUCCAGCAAGGCUCCACCCCCUUGCGCUUAUAAAACCUUCUUACUCCUCGCGGCCAGCCCGGGAUCACAUGUUAAACAUAUGAGUCUAUGAGGGACAUUUUACACUGAACCCACAAGAGCAUCUCUGCCCACAGAGGUGACCCAGCUUCAAUGGGGGCUCUGGCUGUGGGUUUGCUGUUGUCAUCUCCGGUCCCAACACAGUCAGAGAACCAUUAUGACAUCCGUUACGUGGUCUGUUGUCUGUCUCCCAGAGUGUUGCGUCUUUGAGGUUGGAGACUAUAAAGACCCCACGGACGCAGAGGAGUCUGUGUUUGAGGAGAGGGAGGUGGCAUCUCCAUCAGUCUCUUUAUUCGGGUUCUGCCUCUGAGGCUGCUGGUGCCUCUCUGUAUCUUCCCUAGUAAUGGCGCCUCUCUGGAGACAUAAAUGAGAUGCCCCUCCCCUCUCCAGUCAGGCCUCAGAUGUCAGCCACAAGGAUGGAAGAUAAGGCUGGCAGAUCCUUGUGGGACACUGAAGGACAGAAAGAAUGGAGAAGAGUCACCGGAAGGUUGUGAGGAGCUGAGUAGUGAUGCACAGAAGUCAGAUCGUGAGGAAAGUUGGUGGGGAAGGCCAUGGAGGAGAAGGUAAGAGGUGAAGGAUAGAGGCUCACAAAGAUUCAGUCAAGA
This 1097-nucleotide long non-coding RNA is filed under the name Mus spicilegus (steppe mouse). Its description in RNAcentral is "lncRNA (ENSMSIG00000018730.1)". The record is from RNAcentral. Lineage: Eukaryota; Metazoa; Chordata; Mammalia; Rodentia; Muridae.